GACGAAGGGGGCUAGCGUUGUUCGGAAUUACUGGGCAUAAAGGGUGCGUAGGCGGCUUGUUAAGUUAGGUGUGAAAGUCCUGGGCUUAACCUGGGGAUUGCGCCUAAUACUGAAUGACUAGAGUACUGUAGAGGAAGGUGGAAUUUCCAGUGUAGCGGUGAAAUGCGUAGAUAUUGGAAGGAACAUCUGUGGCGAAGGCGACCUUCUGGACAGAUACUGACACUGAGGCACGAAAGCGUGGGGAGCAAACAGG
Molecule: ribosomal RNA, 253 nt
Filed under: uncultured bacterium
Lineage: Bacteria
Description: partial 16S ribosomal RNA
Rfam family: Bacterial small subunit ribosomal RNA
Source: RNAcentral